Molecule: long non-coding RNA, 1252 nt
Organism: Aethalodelphis obliquidens (Pacific white-sided dolphin)
Lineage: Eukaryota; Metazoa; Chordata; Mammalia; Artiodactyla; Delphinidae
Exons: 2
Source: RefSeq, a predicted model, not a curated record
CUGGGGGUCAGCAGAGCCCAUCACUGCCGAGCACCCCUGCAGGGGGGACUGAAGCUCAGAACCCAAUAGGGAACAGAAAAGAGGGGGAGGCAGCAUCUGGCAGAGUCAAGGCCUCUGCAGUUCUCGGGAAUCUGCUCUGCCGUCCAUCGCAGCAGACAGGCGCGUGGGCUCUGGGGCCACGCUGCCUGGGGUCAGACUCCAGCCCCACUGCUGCAGCGUGUCGGGGGAGCAGCUUAACCUCCCCAAGCCUCAGUGUCCUCCAUCAGGUGGGAUCCUGUUAGCACCCACCUCAGGGGGCUGUGGAAGGAUUCGGGGGAGUCAGGUACGCAGCACUCAGCACAGAGCCUGGCCUGUAGAAAAUGCUCACAGUGUACAGGACACCAUGAGUCAUUCGCUCCCACGGGGACCCACAGGCAACCUGAACACUUUGGCCUGGGCCCUGCCUCGGCAUCUGGCAGCACUGGCCUCUUUUACAUGCUUCCCUCACCUCUGCAUGUAAAAGCGCCGGGUCCUGCUGGUUCUGUGUUAGAUGCUCAGCACCAAGGACAGAGGGCACCUCGGUGCCCAGGGAGGUGCUGCUGAGUGCGCGGUCAGCACCAAGGACAGAGGGCACCUCGGUGCCCAGGGAGGUGCUGCUGAGUGCGCGGUUCAGCACCAAGGACAGAGGGCAGCUGGGCUCAGAGGGAAGCAACACAGGGGCUUUGGUCUUCAGCACCAAGGACAGUAGACGGCUAGAUGCAGGGAAGCUCUGCAGGUCCACACGUUGGGAUUCAAGAUCUGGUAUAGGCUUGGGGCAUGAGAGUUGCCCCAAGAGGAGUCAUCCAGGAGGGGCCAUCCAGGAGAUGGUUGGCUCUCCCAUCUGAAGUGCAGGAAUGAAGUCCAAACGGAGCCUUAGACCCCAGCAGUGUCUCAGGAAUUGUCAGCAGAAGCCCUGGGAGAGGAUGAGAGAUUAUCCAGGAAAAGUGUGCAGAGUGGGAAGAGGGAAAACUCUCUAGUGAACAGCAUUGAGUCUGUCGUACUUUUCAGUCCUCAGCAUGCUGUGGUGUUGGUUCCUGUUGAGCCUCUGUCUCAUUUUAUUUUGCCCCCUUUAUUAUCCCCCAACUUCCUUCUCUCAACUGUGGACACACAUACUUGAUGAAUAUAUGUCGUACCGACGUGCUUGCGUCAAUGUACUUGUAUCCUUAAACUUGCAGGACAGUGGUGGCGCUGUGUGUAUCUGACUUGCAUAAAUGGUAUUCUGUUCUGAAUCUCA